This 22-nucleotide non-coding RNA is filed under the name Arabidopsis thaliana (thale cress). Lineage: Eukaryota; Viridiplantae; Streptophyta; Magnoliopsida; Brassicales; Brassicaceae. The record is from RNAcentral.
GGCUUCUCAGGUCGUGUAAAGG